This 64-nucleotide non-coding RNA is filed under the name unclassified sequences. The record is from RNAcentral.
AAAGUGGUACGGUCGUACCAAUUACGGGACGUGCGACGGCGGAGAACCCACCCGGCGCGUCCAC